CUUGGCCCUGCAGUUAUAGCGCAGCUUAGGAAAUGAGGGCCGUGUGUCACUCAUUCCUUUUUGCUUUGGACCUCUUCGUGUCUUAAUGGCUGCCUUAUGACUUCUACCUUCACUUCUCUAAAUGUUUACUUUCUCAGUGCAUAAAAUGUUUUUCAAAGCCACGUGCAGUUAUGAUUAUCAGUAUGGGCUUUGUCUUACGGUGUCACACUGAAGGUGUGGCUGCUUUCUCUGUUUCUGAGGUCUUCUGCAUGACUGAGCAGGGAAUGCAACGCUUGGGCUUGGGAUCAUAGAAUGAUAGAACCACGUAAUGGCCUGGGUUGCAAAGGCCCACAGUGCUCAUUGAGUUCCAACCCCCCCUGCUGUGUGCAGGGUCACCAACCACCAGAGCAGGCUGCCCAGAGAACCCAUAGGGUGCCACAGGGAUCCAUAGGGUGCCAUAGGGAUCCAUAGGGUG
This 454-nucleotide long non-coding RNA is filed under the name Gallus gallus (chicken). The record is from RNAcentral. Lineage: Eukaryota; Metazoa; Chordata; Aves; Galliformes; Phasianidae.